GACCUCAAAUCAGGUAGGACUACCCGCUGAACUUAAGCAUAUCAUAA
This 47-nucleotide ribosomal RNA is filed under the name Armillaria sp. RNAcentral describes it as "partial 28S ribosomal RNA". The record is from RNAcentral. Lineage: Eukaryota; Fungi; Basidiomycota; Agaricomycetes; Agaricales; Physalacriaceae.